Molecule: ribosomal RNA, 854 nt
Filed under: uncultured bacterium
Lineage: Bacteria
Description: bacterial SSU rRNA
Rfam family: Bacterial small subunit ribosomal RNA
Source: RNAcentral
AGAGUUUGAUCCUGGCUCAGGACGAACGCUGGCGGCGUGCUUAACACAUGCAAGUCGAACGAUGACGGUGGUGCUUGCACCGCCUGAUUAGUGGCGAACGGGUGAGUAACACGUGAGUAACCUGCCCCCCACUUCGGGAUAACCUCGGGAAAUCGGGGCUAAUACCGGAUAUGAGCUACUACCGCAUGGUGGUGGUUGGAAAGUUUUUCGGUGGGGGAUGGACUCGCGGCCUAUCAGUUUGUUGGUGAGGUAGUGGCUCACCAAGGCGAUGACGGGUAGCCGGCCUGAGAGGGCGACCGGCCACACUGGGACUGAGACACGGCCCAGACUCCUACGGGAGGCAGCAGUGGGGAAUAUUGCACAAUGGGCGAAAGCCUGAUGCAGCGACGCCGCGUGAGGGAUGACGGCCUUCGGGUUGUAAACCUCUUUCAGUAGGGAAGAAGCGAAAGUGACGGUACCUGCAGAAGAAGCGCCGGCUAACUACGUGCCAGCAGCCGCGGUAAUACGUAGGGCGCAAGCGUUGUCCGGAAUUAUUGGGCGUAAAGAGCUUGUAGGUGGCUUGUCGCGUCUGCCGCGAAAACCCGAGGCUCAACCUCGGGCGUGCGGUGGGUACGGGCAGGCUAGAGUGUGGUAGGGGAGACUGGAACUCCUGGUGUAGCGGUGAAAUGCGCAGAUAUCAGGAAGAACACCGAUGGCGAAGGCAGGUCUCUGGGCCAUUACUGACACUGAGAAGCGAAAGCAUGGGGAGCGAACAGGAGGAGAUACCCUGGUAGUCCAUGCCGUAAACGUUGGGCACUAGGUGGGGGGAACAUUCCACGUUUUCCCCCGCCGUAACUAACGCAUUAAGUGCCCCG